Molecule: non-coding RNA, 54 nt
Organism: Salmo salar (Atlantic salmon)
Lineage: Eukaryota; Metazoa; Chordata; Actinopteri; Salmoniformes; Salmonidae
Source: Rfam
UAUGCACUCUACUGUAAGUCGCUCUAGAUAAGAGUGUCUGCUAAAUGACUAAAA